AACGAACGCUGGCGGCAGGCUUAACACAUGCAAGUCGAACGCUCCGCAAGGAGAGUGGCAGACGGGUGAGUAACACGUGGGAACGUACCCUUUACUACGGAACAACUCCGGGAAACUGGAGCUAAUACCGUAUGUGCCCUUCGGGGGAAAGAUUUAUCGGUAAAGGAUCGGCCCGCGUUGGAUUAGCUAGUUGGUGGGGUAAAGGCCUACCAAGGCGACGAUCCAUAGCUGGUCUGAGAGGAUGAUCAGCCACAUUGGGACUGAGACACGGCCCAAACUCCUACGGGAGGCAGCAGUGGGGAAUAUUGGACAAUGGGCGCAAGCCUGAUCCAGCCAUGCCGCGUGUGUGAUGAAGGCCUUAGGGUUGUAAAGCACUUUCACCGGAGAAGAUAA
RNAcentral lists this ribosomal RNA (393 nucleotides) under uncultured bacterium. Its description in RNAcentral is "bacterial SSU rRNA". It matches the Rfam family "Bacterial small subunit ribosomal RNA", at positions 29 to 451 of the family's 1533-position model. The record is from RNAcentral.